Molecule: non-coding RNA, 781 nt
Organism: Oryctolagus cuniculus (rabbit)
Lineage: Eukaryota; Metazoa; Chordata; Mammalia; Lagomorpha; Leporidae
Source: RefSeq, a predicted model, not a curated record
AGGUAUCCACGGGAGUUCAUUCCUCUGUAGUCCCUUCCCAGAAAAAGGCUUCAUUCUGCUCACUCGGCUGGAGCACCGGCAUCAGCCAGCUCACCGCAGGGCCCCAUGGGAGGCAGCUGGCCUUCUCGUCCUGCCUGCAUCCCACCCAAGAGUAUUCUAGAACAUGACACUAUUUACAUAGCCGUUCUGACGGUGAACGCUUCAGUUGUACGGGAGGACUCUGAUCACAUGUUGACUGUGUUUGAUUUCUAAGAUUGGGUGGAGAGCACACAGAAGUUCUGUCUACAGACCUUAUUUUUCCUCAUUUGAAGUAGCCGAGCCCAGCGAGAAGUCCUAUCGAUUCUGCCAAACUUCCAGGCCUUGCCGUGCAGGUCACAGGCACGCGGGAUUUCUGGGAGCGGAUGAAGUGCUUCCUCAUGGAGGGGCCGAGCACAGCGAGCAGGUACCCACUGCGGGAGCACAGAUGCAGCUGUCACUGUGGCUUCGCCACACACCCUGCGGUCCUGGCCUGCCCUGCAAGCCCCCACGGGCAGUCCCACACCCAGUGCUAGAAACCCAGGGAAGCCGGGGACAAAAGACACUCCAGGGAAGACGGUUUCUCCUCGAAUGGCUGAGGCACUGCCCGUGGAGUCUCUGUAAGGAAACAAAGAGGGAAGGGUCUAAGCUGGGGGCGCCGUGGGACGCUGGCUCUCCUGGAAGCCACUCCGUGCACUUCCUUAUUUAAGGAAAGCAGAGAAAAAGAAGCGCCGAGGACCCGAGAGAAUAAAUAUGCUGGAAAUAA